Ctenopharyngodon idella (grass carp) is the source of this 853-nucleotide long non-coding RNA. RefSeq lists it as uncharacterized. Lineage: Eukaryota; Metazoa; Chordata; Actinopteri; Cypriniformes; Xenocyprididae. The transcript has 2 exons. The record is from RefSeq and is a predicted model, not a curated record.
CUCAGUUGUCCUCAGUGUGAAAAGAUGGAUCUCAAAAUCAUUCAGUCACUGCUGGAAAGGGUUCAAAUAUGCAAAAAAAUCCUUGAAAUCUGAAGAAUCUGCAGGACCUGGAGGAUUUUUCUGAAGAACAGAGCUCAGUUUAACUGCUCAGAGCAAACAAGAGACUCAUGAACAACCAUCACACAACAAAAAAACAGUCGUGGAUCAUCCAGGUAACCACACACAGUGUUAAGAAUCAAUGGUUCACAAACUUUUGAGCGGAGUUAUUUUAAUAAAUUCAGCUAUUUUUUUGUCUUGUGGAUUAUAUGUAAACAUUACUCAGGACUGUACUAAAUAAAAAAAAAACAUGCAUUUUGUAUGAUCUCUUUUAUUUUGUUAAAAUUUUUCACAUUUUCACAGAUUCUGCAACUUUCGCAUGGCACUGUAAUUAUGUUCUCAGAAAGGUUAGAAAAUUUCAAUAGGUAACAAAGUUUUCAAUAUUACACUUUAAUUGAAUGUUCCUGUAGAGUAUGCUGGUCAUUCCCAGGGAAUGCAUGAACAGAUAAGACAAUUACUUUGAAUGCAAUACACGUCUCUUUAGAUCUGCCACAUGCACUUAUGUAAUAAAUGAUCUGAUGUGAAAUGUUACUCAAAAGAAUGUGAAACUACAAGGUUCUGUUUAGAAAGUCUUUAAUGCUGAUAUAUUUGGCACCCGUUUUGACUGACAGCAGAAGUUCAAGAAUCUUUAGAAGACUCACUAAUAUACUAGAAUAAAAUAAUAUCAACUCCGAUAAUAGGGUGGGAUGAUGUCCAGUCAACCUUAGAUUCAUUUAGGCUCUGUUUUGUGAUAAUGACCGGCUGACUGUAAAUUAUC